UUAAAGACGCUGAUAAGGAAGAGUAAAUGACAAACUACUCUAAGAGAGAAAAAUCCAUUGGGUGAGAGAUUUUUUGAGUAAGGGUUAUUGAAAACCACCUUUGAGUCGAAUACUGAAAUUAUAGUAAGUAUAUCCGCUGCCUGCGUUAAAGGUGUAGAGAUAUCAGUAAAGAUAAAAUAUUAUAGCUUUAGUAGUUUUUAUUAAAGUAUAAUUUAGAUAAUUUGAUUACUGUUAAAGUUGGGUGGAACCACGAAUAGCACUCGUCCCAUGU
This 271-nucleotide non-coding RNA is filed under the name Clostridium carboxidivorans. Its description in RNAcentral is "T-box sequence". It matches the Rfam family "T-box leader". Rfam says of the family: Uncharged tRNA acts as the effector for transcription antitermination of genes in the T-box leader family. T-boxes are found upstream of many aminoacyl-tRNA synthetase genes and some amino acid biosynthetic genes usually in Gram-positive bacteria. The anticodon of a specific tRNA base pairs to a specifier sequence within the T-box motif, and the NCCA acceptor tail of the tRNA base pairs to a conserved bulge in the T-box antiterminator hairpin. The record is from RNAcentral. Lineage: Bacteria; Bacillati; Bacillota; Clostridia; Eubacteriales; Clostridiaceae.